GAGAGAGAGAGAGAGAGAGAGAGAGAGAGAGAGAGAGAACUCAAGCAUGUGCCCAAGCUAACCCAUGCAAGAGUGCUUGGAUGUUUUCUUCAAUUAUUUCUCCACCUUUGUUUUUGAGAUAGUGUCCCUCAUUGAACCUGGAAUGUGCCAUUUUGGCUAGACUGGCUGGCUAGCAAGACUCUGGGGUCUGCUCGUCUCCACCCUCCAGCAUGGAGUUACAGAUGUUUACAGCCAUGUCUGGCUUUUCCAUACGUGAUGGGCAUCUGGACUUGGGUCUUCAAGCUUGUGCAAUAAACACUUUGCCUACCGAGUCAUUCAUUCUCCCAUCCUCCAACAUCCACCGUUUGAGGGUCUGAGGGAUGUGUGUGAUUCUCCUUUAUUUCUAGCUGAUCCACCGUUUGAGGGUCUGAGGGAUGUGUGUGAUUCUCCUUUAUUUCUAGCUGAUCCACCGUUUGAGGGUCUGAGGGAUGUGUGUGAUUCUCCUUUAUUUCUAGCUGAUCCACCGUUUGAGGGUCUGAGGGAUGUAUGUGAUUCUCCUUUAUUUCUAGCUGACCCAGACUCUUCCUGCUGCAGGAUAGAGCUUCCUGGUCCAAGGCCUGGCCUCUCCUUAAGGCAUAGAGACCUGUAGCUCAAGACUUAUUCAUUUCCAGGGCUUUUCUUUCUGGUGCUACAGCAAAGACGCUCUCAGACAAUUAAAUUGAAACAGCUACACACUUUCCCUCGCAGGGGUUUGGACAGAUUUAUAAUAUUUUCUUUUUUAAAAAAUUGGGCCCUUUUUCAUGGAGACAGUGAUUUAUAGAAUAAUCAAUUUCUUUAUCUACCUAAUACAUUGGAGUGAUCCGUCAGUUCAGGCAUCAAUCUCCCUGGGGUUGGGGAGGGCCGAUGGCCUAACAGCCUGGCUCAUCAGGCGAAGGGCAGGUUUCCCCGUGAGCUGUUUUGCUGCUGAGACUGGACAGAGAGCCUUGUGAGGAAGGCCUAAGCCUCCUGUAAACUCCUCGUCCAGCUAACAGGUAGUGCUUUCGUCUAUCAAUAUCUGCCACCCCAGGGGAAUGGGUGCAGUGCACGCUGUCCCCAUUACACAGAUUUGGAGACCGAGUAUCUUAGGAAAGGGAUGACUCAGCUGGUAAAGCACUUGCCUGGCAAGCAUGAGGCCCUGAGCAGGAUUCUCAGACCCCAUAUAAAAAUGCGAGGCAUAGUGGUACACACCGGCAGUCCCAGUGCUGAAGAAGUGGAGACAGGAGAGUCACUGAGCCCACCGGCCAGCCAGCCUAUUCUACUUAUGGAGUUCCAGGACAGUGAGAGACCCUGGAGAUAAACUGUCUCAGAGGAGGUAGAUGACCUUCCUAAGGAUGACCCCUGAAGUCGCCAUUCUCUGACGUCCCAUGCACAUGUGUCUGUCCUUCUGCGCCUGCACACACAUAUGUGGAUGUGCACCCGCACACAUAUGCAUACAUCCAUGAACACACAUGCUACACACACACACACACACACAGAGAGAGAGAGAGAGACAGAGACAGAGAGAGACAGAGACAGAGAGAGACAGAGACAGAGAGAGAGAGAUGUAAAGGACAAGAACUUGAAGACAUGAAGGCAAGAGCGACUGUCUAUAAAUUGCAGGCUGGUAAGAUGGUUCAGCCAGCAAGAGCAUUUGUUACCAACUCAACCUGAGUUCAGUCCUCAGAACCCACAUGGUGGUUGGAGAGAACUGACUUCCACAGAUCGUCUUCUGACCUCCACGUGUGCAUCCCCCUUCCAAUAUAUAAAUAAAAAUGUAAUUAAAAAGUCUCAGGUCUGUAGCAAGCGGGAGGCAAGCCUGGCCUGAGAGGUCCCUGCAGGACUGAGACCAGUGAGUGCUGGCCAGUACCAGCCAUUUUAUCUUUCGUGCUAUUUGAAGACUCAGUAAAUUGUCUCAUGGGGGUAGUGGGCUUCCUGUAAUGGAGACACACACAGCUUGGCUGCUGACGUCACAGAGGAGCCCGGGAGUCUCUCCCUGUGAAAUUCUUAGUCUGCCCAGCUGUAUGCCUAAGGCUGCUAAGGACAUCCAGGUUUUCUGAGUUCCUGAAAAGGCCAAGGCUAUUCCAGCUCCAGCUUCUGCAAACCCCAUGGAGGCCAAACCCAAGGCGGUAUUUGCUGAGAACACUCAGAGCUCAGACUCUAUUGCCUCCACAGCUUACCCUGUGGUGAUGCUGCAGGCCAGUGAGGAAACUGGUUGUUGCAGCCUCCUGGGCGUCACAGCAAGUACACCGUAGACCUCAGCUUGCUUGGUUCCCGUCUCUGAUGUAGGGAGCUUCCUUCUGCAGGAGCAGAGACUGGCGUCUGGAGCAGAGGUCAGGUAGCAAACCAUCAGUCAGAGCUUCAUCCGCAGGGUGGUGACUCACCACAGGUAGCUUUACCACAAGCUCAUUGUGGGUCGGUCUUAUGCCAGAUGCCAAGGUCAGUGAGACAGGCAGGGUCCUUGCCCUUAGAAAGCUCACAGUCUGGCAGGAGAGGCAGAUAUCAAAGCAUGUUCCAGGAGGAAAGUUCGGGAUUAAGAAAAUGCCAUGAGACUCUAAGCAGCAAGAAAGGACAGUUAGGUGAAGGGGGAGGGGAGGAGUGAGGGAAGAGUUCUCAGUCAGCAGACAGAAUGUGCUCAAAUGCCCAAGGGGCCGGCAGCGGUGUAAGCUGGGCUGUGAGAGACUACCAGCUCUGUAGGCAAACACAAUCAAAUACUAGCAGUUUCACAUUGCAAACUCUUUGAAAACCUCAAGGAAGUCCAAGAGUGAGCAAUAGUUGUAUGGACAAGUGGUCCAAGUGACCCUCCUGAAUGAUGUCUGAGUGACAGUGAUGGACAAGUGGUCCAGGUGACCCUCCUGAAGGAUGUCUGAGUGACAGUGAUGGACAAGUGGUCCGGGUCACCCUCCUGAAGGUCUGAGUGACAGUGAUGAGGCUGGGUAGAUCCCAAGGACACUGGAGAGCUAGUUACUAAGGACUUUGUGAAGGAGAGGAACAGAACCAAACCCACACCUCCAAGAAGUCAUCCUGGUGGCUGUGGGACAUGACUUUAGUGGAAGCUGGAGGCCCAUUGGAUGCUGUUUCAGAUGUCUAGGUGAGAAAGGAAAUGCCAGUUGAGGGUUGUUUUAGAGAGCUAGCAUCCUGAUUCACUGUUUUGAGUUCUCCCCAUAGACCUGACUUUCCCUUUGCCCUGGGCAUAAGCAGUGGAUGCAGGCUAGGUAUGUAUGAGGGGCCUGGACCUCUUGAGAACUCUAUGUCCAUGUCUCUUUAAAACAUUGUGCUGCAUGGAUGUCUUCAGGUACAGCUAGGCCUGCAACCCCAUUCACAACUCGUUACCCUGAACUGAAAAUCUAAGUUCUGUCCCCUGCUGCCUAAGGAGCAACUGCUGCUCAGAUGGCAGACGACCCAUCUCACAGCCUUCUCUGGUGAUCAGGCAGGGCCUGAUACGUCUGGCCACCAGCCAGACCUGCAGUGAGUCCUAGGGUCUCCCAAUGACCUGGCAGGAAGGUCUGAAAAAAGAAAGCGACAGGGCCAUUGUCCAGCUGAGCUCUUACCAUCUUCUUUGGGUCUGGAGCUUGGGGUGGACUGAGGAGCGCUUCUGUGUGUUGAGCAUGGAGUGAUCUUACUUCUCUUUAGCCAAUGAAGUGGAGGAGGGGGAGCACAGUCCACAGGGCAAGUGUAGGGCAGUGCCUACGAUGCUGGGGCAGGAGCAUCCAUGAGAUCUCGCUGGGCUAGGCUUUCUUCCCUUCCACGUUUAAUUUCCCACCCACUCUGUGAAGACAGUGCCACUUGAUGAAUCCAGACAACCGUGACCCAUUGACAACAGCCACCCGUGGACAGGAGUGACCCAUUGACAACAGCCACCCGUGGACAGGAGUGACCCAUUGACAACAGCAACCCAUUGCGGACUUAGCACAUGCUAAGAGUGUUCCAGGAAGUAUGUCAUGUAUGCAGUACCUUGAAGAGCAGGAUGCAGAUCUGCACCUGAGGAGCAUGAGGACUGACUGACUGACUGACUGACUGACUUAUCAGGCUAAUGCAUACAGAGAGGGUGCAUUUCAUUCAGCCUGUGUGGCAUUGUUUACCUUAUCACCAAUGGGGCAGAAGCUUGGUUACUUUAGAGGCAAAACACUUUUACUUAUUUCUUUAUUUAAAUGUUGUUUUUAACUUGUAAUGAGAAAUUGUGGUUGUUUAUAUUACAUAGGGGGAGACACAGUGCAACAUUCUGAUACAUUGUCGCUGUUGUUAUGUCCAAUAACUAGAUGUGGAGGCCCACUGUCCUUCUAUACCCUGCUUUUCAGGGGUGCUUGGUGUGCCUGUGUGCGUGCGUGUGCCCUACUGGCGCGGGCUUCCAUCCCUCCUGCUCAUCCCUUUCUCCUGGUCCAGCCUAGCCCCCUUAGCAGGUGUCUCUGGACUCACAGGGCUCUUCACCCUGGCAGUGGUCCCAGUUACAAGGGAUGACCCUGGGUGGGCAGAUGUUGCAGGAUCCUCAACCUUCUGGAUUUCACUGCAGUCGCCUCACCCCUCAGCCACAGGUUACUAAGCUCUCCCAAGAACCACUUCACUUCUGAUGGGAGCAGCGUGGCUGCUGCGCAGCGGUUCCAGCUCUGGUUCUGUUUGGAUGCCCCACUUGCAGUGCCGUUCUCUCCUGCCUCCCGCUGAACCUCUUCCUCCUCAUCUUCCUCUUCCUUCAUGCCUAGCAGAAGCCCUGCCUGCUCUGGGAAGCCCUUGGAGAUGUGCAUAUCCCCUCCAGCUCCUUAGCCUGUCUGGAGACUUCCCCUAGCUAGUUUAAGAACACUCCUGGCUACAGAAAUUCUCUCCUGUCCCGUUGGUCUUGCCGGACGUCCUGGGUCUCGGGACUCCAAGGCUUGUGAGCCUCUUGUGCUUGCCUCAGGCUGUUUCCUUUUAGGCUUUAUCAAAAAAGAUACUUUUUAUUUUUUAUUUUUUACGAGACAGGGUUUCUCUGUAUUGUUUAGGAGGCUAUCGGUCCAGCCCGGCCUCGAACUCACAGAGAUCCGCCUGCCUCUGCCUCCCAAGUGCUGGGAUUAAAGGCUCGCGCCACCACCACACGGCUAAAAGAUACUUUUUAAUUAAAACAAAGCAACACACCCAACAUUUGGCGGUCAUGCAAGUGAUUCUCCACUUGGACCUAAUGCUUUAUUUGUGCCCUUGCCUUUGAUUCCAUUUCAAGUUGCACUGAGAUUUUUCUUUUGAGUCAGCUGACAUCCAGACAUUGGGACUUGUCCACACAGUUUGGAUGUCCACCUUCUUUCUCCCUAUUCUCCAGCACCACAGUCCCCACCCUGCUGUCUCUUCAUCCUUUGUGACAGGCUGUCCCCUGCCCUGCUUCCAGCUGGCUUUUAGUCAGGUUCAGACCUGUGUUGUUACUUCCAGAAGGAAGCAAAGGACAAGGUGGGACUGUUCUUCCUACUUUCCCUCUCUGACCUCAUCUGCUUCCACUUGGCUGACCCUUGACCUCCCAUGUGGGCAGGGACCUCUCUGAGGUGGGAGGAAUUUGGUCUCAGUAUGUUGUCAUUUUCACAGCUAUGGAGCCCCCAGAAUUUUCCAGUCUUUUGUAACCCUCACGGUCUCCUCAGGUGAGUGGGAUUGUCCCUGUUCCGCUCCAGGUAAGGAAUAGGAGCCUCAGACGAAGAAAGCCAGUGAGUGAGAUGCCCAGGCUGGGUGUCCCCGUGACAUGAUUCCUGGUCUGCCCGGCUGCAGUGUAGCCCCUUGGCUUGUUCCCAGUGGCUGCUUCAGCCAGGUUCCCAGUGAGUGAUUAGCAAGUACUGGUAAGUCAGGUUGAGUGGCAGUCACAGGUGAGACGGACCCCAUAGGCCCCGCCCCCUCCCUGAGGUAGGGAGCAAGCAGGGCGUGUGUCUGAUGUUCCCGGUUCUACCUCCCUUCAUUGGGAAGUGCUGUGCCUUCUGGGGCGGUGGUUCCUUACGUUAAGCGAACACGUGCUGGGUGGAGAUAUGCUGAGAGUCCCCCAGCACUACCAUGUCUUUGAGGCAGGAGGACAUGGUGCAGGUGUCAGGCUCAGCAGGAGCAUUUUAACAACCUCUGUCCUUGCUCACUCUCCUCAGUCCUCGAGGUGGCCGCAGGCUCACCACUCUAAGACGGUCUCAGCCACUAAUUGGGCCCAGAUAAUAGGCUGUGCACGCGCCCUUUCCCGUCCUUCUGCACUGUAGGGUAGUUUUGCAAAGCCCAGCCUUCUGCUUGGGCCAGAGUUGGGGAGAACUGUGGCUAGCAGGCAGAUGGUCCCCUGUUCCAGGCGGGCACAGGCAGGCUGCUGGGGACCUCACACCACCCAGUGGAUUCUCUACGACAGGGGUCGGGACUGCCUGUUGUCAAAGGUGCUCUGUGGACAUUGUCAGAAGGUGGCUGCUGGAAAGACUCUCAACAAAGGAUCUCCGGCUCUCCGCGUGCAAGCGUCUGUGAAUGCUGCGCAGUCCUGCAUGAUAGCAUCCCGCUGGCCCCUUGGAGCAGGUGGCAUGGGAAGCUUCAGAUGAGCGUGGGCAGUGUUUUCUUUGCCCAGCUCCAGUGUUCUGUGCAAGUGGAUUAAGUUCUGGAUGGAAUAGGGCUUCUCGCUUUCUUGGCAUUCAGGGUUGGUUUUGCUUUUCUGCCUGCUGGGAUACGUGUUGGAUGUGCAGAUUAUCCCCCAUAUCCAAACUUGGGGAUCCUGAGCCUCCAACUGUUCAGUCUGGGAUUCUAGACAUCUGGUCUUGCUGGCCUGGAAACAAGUCCCACCAUGGGGAUAGAGUGUCCUUGACUGAUGGUAUUGUCAUGUCCGAGAUGUGGAGUAAGUAUCCUGGUCCUGACGCCACCUAUGUCCCUGGGUUUGUGCUGUGACCCCAAAACCUGCAAUGGGAAGGGAGAAGCUCUGGACUCCAGGGAAGUGACAGUGGCCUAAGAGAUCAUAGUGGGGACUCAGCUUCUGGGAAAAUCUGUCUUAGUGACCUUCAUAGUUCCCACUGUCUGGGAGUCAUGCUGGAGUCACUUACCCACCCAAGAGGCAGCUAAUCUGUAUGCCUCCACCUCCCAGGUGCCUUCCCUGGGGCCUCGCCCUUCCUGGUGCAGCUGCAGCCACCGUGACAGGAGACACCAACCCCUUUCCUUGGGUCCCUCUGGGGUUUGAGAGGAAAGGAGCCCAGGCUCCAGACCAGCACUCACACUGAGCAAACAAACAGAAGAACCGCUCUGGAACCAGCCGUGUCUACUGGAGCCGCCCAUGUCUGCCCAACAUUCAUUGCACUGUCAGUGUGUCAGCACAUUCCAGUGUGUCCCCCAGGCUUGCACAUGAGGAACCCGAGGUCCUGGGAGAUCAAGCUAACCCAGAUAAAGCUGUGUCUGGAGAGCAUCUGUGUGGGCACCGCCCUUUCAGUUUCAGUGUCACUCUGGGAACACACAGCCAGUCUCGUCUGAAAACGCACAAAAAUCUCCAGAUGUCUAAGUGUCAGGUGUGGGCGGGGCACUUGGUAAACAGUGCUCGGCGAGUGUAACCAGUCUUCUGCUCUGGCCUUGGCCAUGGGGAGUGAGGAAGGGACAGCAUAUUUUCUCCCACCCACUCAUCUUCCCAGCCUCAUGGGCUCUAGGUUUGCUGUUGUGACCUUGUUCAGGAAACGUCUUGAUAUUUGUUGCCAGGUAGACAAAAACAUCUGGAAGAUUGACCCAUCUUUCUCCUUCGUCCAAAUGUUUUGGUGUCAUGAAGAUAAAGCCACAAAGAUGUAACUGCCAGCGCCCAGUUCCCAGAAGGCCAUAAAACACGGGUGAUCCUGCAGGGCCUCGAAUGCCACAAUCCAGCAAAGUGCUCCUUGUAUUCAACACAUGGUGAUUUUUUACAAAAUCGCUGAACUAGCCAUGUUCUCUGUAUUGAUCAAUAAAUUACUUUGAUGAAAACUCAA
Molecule: long non-coding RNA, 7892 nt
Organism: Mesocricetus auratus (golden hamster)
Lineage: Eukaryota; Metazoa; Chordata; Mammalia; Rodentia; Cricetidae
Exons: 2
Source: RefSeq, a predicted model, not a curated record